GUGCCAGCAGCCGCGGUAAUACGAAGGGUGCAAGCGUUAGUCGGAAUUACUGGGCGUAAAGCGUGCGUAGGUGGUUCGUUAAGUCUGCUGUGAAAGCCCUGGGCUCAACCUGGGAAUGGCGGUGGAAACUGGCGAGCUAGAGUGCGGUAGAGGAUGGUGGAAUUCCCGGUGUAGCGGUGAAAUGCGUAGAGAUCGGGAGGAACAUCAAUGGCGAAGGCAGCCAUCUGGGCCAGCACUGACGCUGAGGCACGAAAGCGUGGGGAGCAAACAGGAUUAGAAACCCGAGUAGUCC
This 292-nucleotide ribosomal RNA is filed under the name uncultured bacterium. RNAcentral describes it as "partial 16S ribosomal RNA". It matches the Rfam family "Bacterial small subunit ribosomal RNA", at positions 505 to 796 of the family's 1533-position model. The record is from RNAcentral.